UACGUAGGGUGCAAGCGUUGUCCGGAAUUAUUGGGCGUAAAGAGCUCGUAGGCGGUUUGUUGCGUCGGCUGUGAAAUCUCGAGGCUCAACCUCGGGUCUGCAGUCGAUACGAGCAAACUAGAGUGUUGCAGGGGAGACUGGAAUUCCUGGUGUAGCGGUGAAAUGCGCAGAUAUCAGGAGGAACACCGGUGGCGAAGGCGGGUCUCUGGGCAACAACUGACGCUGAGGAGCGAAAGCGUGGGGAGCGAACAGG
RNAcentral lists this ribosomal RNA (253 nucleotides) under uncultured bacterium. RNAcentral's name for it is "partial 16S ribosomal RNA". It matches the Rfam family "Bacterial small subunit ribosomal RNA", at positions 524 to 776 of the family's 1533-position model. The record is from RNAcentral.